Molecule: ribosomal RNA, 246 nt
Filed under: uncultured Lactobacillus sp.
Lineage: Bacteria; Bacillati; Bacillota; Bacilli; Lactobacillales; Lactobacillaceae
Description: partial 16S ribosomal RNA
Rfam family: Bacterial small subunit ribosomal RNA
Source: RNAcentral
CGUGGGUAACCUGCCCAAGAGAUCGGGAUAACACCUGGAAACAGAUGCUAAUACCGGAUAACAACAGAUGAUGCCUAUCAACUGUUUAAAAGAUGGUUCUGCUAUCACUCUUGGAUGGACCUGCGGUGCAUUAGCUAGUUGGUAGGGUAACGGCCUACCAAGGCGAUGAUGCAUAGCCGAGUUGAGAGACUGAUCGACCACAUUGGGACUGAGACACGGCCCAAACUCCUACGGGAGGCAGCAGGG